GAUGAACGCUGGCGGCGUGCCUAAUACAUGCAAGUCGAGCGAACAGACGAGGAGCUUGCUCCUCUGACGUUAGCGGCGGACGGGUGAGUAACACGUGGAUAACCUACCUAUAAGACUGGGAUAACUUCGGGAAAACGGAGCUAAUACCGGAUAAUAUAUUGAACCGCAUGGUUCAAUAGUGAAAGACGGUGUUGAUGUCACUUAUAGAUGGAUCCGCGCCGCAUUAGCUAGUUGGUAAGGUAACGGCUUACCAAGGCAACGAUGCGUAGCCGACCUGAGAGGGUGAUCGGCCACACUGGAACUGCGACACGGUCCAGACUCCUACGGGAGGCAGCAGUAGGGAAUCUUCCGCAAUGGGCGAAAGCCUGACGGAGCAACGCCGCGUGAGUGAUGAAGGUCUUCGGAUCGUAAAACUCUGUUAUUAGGGAAGAACAAAUGUGUAAGUAACUAUGCACGUCUUGACGGUACCUAAUCAGAAAGCCACGGCUAACUACGUG
Molecule: ribosomal RNA, 497 nt
Filed under: uncultured bacterium
Lineage: Bacteria
Description: partial 16S ribosomal RNA
Rfam family: Bacterial small subunit ribosomal RNA
Source: RNAcentral